UGGGGAAUAUUGGACAAUGGGCGCAAGCCUGAUCCAGCCAUGCCGCGUGAGUGAUGACGGCCUUCGGGUUGUAAAGCUCUUUUAUCCGGGAAGAUAAUGACUGUACCGGAAGAAUAAGCCCCGGCAAACUUCGUGCCAGCAGCCGCGGUAAUACGAAGGGGGCUAGCGUUGUUCGGAUUUACUGGGCGUAAAGCGCAUGUAGGCGGCGCGUUAAGUCAGAGGUGAAAGCCUGGAGCUCAACUCCAGAACUGCCUUUGAUACUGGCGGGCUCGAGUAUGGAAGAGGUUGGUGGAACUGCGAGUGUAGAGGUGAAAUUCGUAGAUAUUCGCAAGAACACCAGUGGCGAAGGCGGCCAACUGGUCCAUUACUGACGCUGAGGUGCGAAAGCGUGGGGAGCAAACA
Molecule: ribosomal RNA, 402 nt
Filed under: uncultured Phreatobacter sp.
Lineage: Bacteria; Pseudomonadati; Pseudomonadota; Alphaproteobacteria; Hyphomicrobiales; Phreatobacteraceae
Description: bacterial SSU rRNA
Rfam family: Bacterial small subunit ribosomal RNA
Source: RNAcentral